This 973-nucleotide unclassified non-coding RNA is filed under the name uncultured soil eukaryote. Its description in RNAcentral is "sequence contains 18S rRNA gene, ITS1, 5.8S rRNA gene, ITS2, 28S rRNA gene". The stretch from base 550 to 973 matches the Rfam family "Eukaryotic large subunit ribosomal RNA", at positions 1 to 418 of the family's 3401-position model. The record is from RNAcentral.
GGAAGGAUCAUUAACAAGCCGUGAAGGUCACCUCCCAAAAGGACGGUGAUCUCUCACCCGGCCACCCUUGUUUACCUUAACCUGUUGCUUUGGUGGGCCUGCCGCAGGGCCGCCGGGGGACAUUUUGUUCUCGGGCGAGUGCUCACCAAAGUCCUACUGAACUCUUUAGUUUUUAUGCAGUCUGAGCAUAUGAAAAUGAAUUUUAAAACUUUCAACAACGGAUCUCUUGGUUCUGGCAUCGAUGAAGAACGCAGCGAAAUGCGAUAAGUAAUGUGAAUUGCAGAAUUCCGUGAAUCAUCGAAUCUUUGAACGCAUAUUGCGCCCUCUGGUAUUCCGGGGGGCAUGCCUGUCCGAGCGUCAUUACAAUCUUCAAGCCCGGCUUGGCUGUUGAGCGUUCUGUUCUUCGCGGAACAGGGCUCGAAAUGCAGUGGCGAUGGCGAGACUGUGCCCGAGCGUAUGGGGCUUUGUCACACGCUCUGGUGGCUUCAGCUUGCAGUCUGCCAAACCUGCGUAUAUGCAUUAUAGAUGUAUAUACCAAUCCAAUCUGAUUGACCUCGGAUCAGGUAGGGAUACCCGCUGAACUUAAGCAUAUCAAUAAGCGGAGGAAAAGAAACCAACAGGGAUUGCCUCAGUAACGGCGAGUGAAGCGGCAAAAGCUCAAAUUUGAAAUCUGGCUUCCAGUUUUGGAGCCCGAGUUGUAAUUUGCAGAGGAUGCUUUGGGUGCGGCUGCGGUUUAAGUCCCCUGGAACGGGGCAUCAUAGAGGGUGAGAAUCCCGUCUGGGACCGCCAGCCCUGCCCGUGUAAAGCUCCUUCGACGAGUCGAGUUGUUUGGGAAUGCAGCUCUAAAUGGGUGGUAAAUUUCAUCUAAAGCUAAAUACCGGCCAGAGACCGAUAGCGCACAAGUAGAGUGAUCGAAAGAUGAAAAGCACUUUGAAAAGAGAGUUAAACAGCAUGUGAAAUUGUUGAAAGGGAA